AUGGGGAAAGGGAAGGUGUCCGCUAAGCCACCCACUAGGAAGCGGAUGGACAAGCUCGAUAUGGCCUUUUCCUGCCCAUUCUGCAAUCACGGGAGCAGCGUUGAAUGCCUGAUUGAUAUGAAAAACCUGACUGGUGAGGCUAAUUGUCAAAUCUGCCAGAAAAGCUUCAGCACCACUGCAAAUGGUACGUCCAAAUCAUACAUAAAACUGCAUAUUGUACCUCCUAACAUAGCCGUAGAUGCCAUACUGAUUGGCUCUCAGCUAGAAAAUUAUGCACCAGGCACCUCAUUUGGUUUUGUUCCUUCUCAACCUAAUGAUUGCAACUCCGGGAAUGGGCUAUAG
This 342-nucleotide ribosomal RNA is filed under the name Triticum aestivum (bread wheat). RNAcentral's name for it is "partial small subunit ribosomal RNA". The record is from RNAcentral. Lineage: Eukaryota; Viridiplantae; Streptophyta; Magnoliopsida; Poales; Poaceae.